RNA transcript from Trichoplusia ni (cabbage looper), 4285 nucleotides. It is a transcript of the gene named chromosome-associated kinesin KIF4, with no coding region annotated. Lineage: Eukaryota; Metazoa; Arthropoda; Insecta; Lepidoptera; Noctuidae. The transcript is spliced from 21 exons. The record is from RefSeq and is a predicted model, not a curated record.
UAAAUUUGAAUAUGUCGUUGAUUUGAGGCCGUUGUAUUUUGAAACGUUUAUUGUCGUGAUUUGUGCUGCCGAAAGGCUAAAACUUUAUUAGAAUCACUUUUCAAACUCUAUAAAUCGUAUUAUUUUUCGAUAAUAUAGUGUUAAGUGACAUGAUUUGACACCGAUGUCAGGCCUCACAAACUUAAAAUACUACUGAAAAAAAAAACCUGACAAUUGACAAACCCUGAACAUCCAGAAACCUGAAAUUUUAGGACAUGAGAGCCUUGCUGGGGUGCUAGAAGAGCAGAGGGGAUUUUUUAUUGUUAAAUACAUAAUUUGGCAAGAUGGUGGAAGGUGAUAGCAAGGGUACAAUAGACACAGUGCAAGUAGCACUCCGGAUCAGGCCAUUGAUGCAACUGGAGACAGAUCGAGGAUGUGACGAGUGUAUUGACGUGGUUGUGGGACAGCCCCAAGUCCAGAUCAAGGACUUGGCAUUCACAUACAACUAUGUUUUUCCUCAACACAUAACACAGCAAGAAUUUUAUGACACCGCAGUCAAAGGUCUUAUAGGAAAACUCUUUCAAGGGUACAAUGUAACAAUAUUAGCUUAUGGCCAGACCGGGUCUGGUAAGACCUACACAAUGGGAACAAACUAUUCUGGCUCUGAUGGAGACUCCACAAAACUUGGUGUAAUCCCCCAAGCAGUGGCAGACAUAUUUGAUUUCAUAGAAACACAUGAAGACAAAUUCAUAUUCAAGGUGAAUGUGUCCUUCAUGGAGUUGUAUCAGGAGCAGUGUUACGACCUCCUCUCUGGCAAGGAGAGAGGACACAGUAUUAUAGAAAUUAGGGAGGACAUUAAUAAAGGUGUUAUUUUACCAGGGAUAACAGAGUUGCCAGUUACUUCGACGAUGGAGACUAUGAUGGUGUUGGAGCGAGGAUCAUCAGGUCGAGUAACAGGUUCCACAGCCAUGAACCAGGCGUCAAGUAGGAGUCAUGCUGUCUUCACCAUUAUUAUAUGCAAAGAGAGCCGGAGUGACAAAAACUUGGCGACAACGUCAAAGUUCCAUCUUGUUGAUCUCGCGGGCUCUGAACGGAUUAAGAAGACGAAGGCCAGUGGUGAGCGUCUGAAGGAAGGCGUUAAGAUCAACCAGGGAUUGUUGGCGCUUGGCAACGUGAUAUCAGCACUCGGAGACGGAACUAACAGGAGCUUCAUCAGUUAUAGGGACAGCAAACUAACUAGGCUGUUGCAAGACAGUUUAGGAGGCAACUCAUUAACUUUGAUGGUGGCAUGCGUGAGUCCGGCGGACUACAACCUGGACGAGACCGUGUCCACGCUGCGCUACGCAGACCGCGCGCGCCGCAUACGCAACAAACCCAUCAUCAACCAAGACGCCAAGGCUGCCGAGAUCGUUAGGUUAAAUAACUUAGUGAACGAAUUAAGACUGCAAUUACUAGGCAAAAUGCCGACAGUCAGCGAACAAAACAACGAACAGCUUCAAGAGGAGCUAGAAAGAGAAAAAGCGAGAUACGCUGAGCUAUUGAAAAAGCACAAACAAGUCACUGAACACCUCAGCAACAUGUUAAUAGAAAACACAAAUCUAUGCGAGAAAGCUUUGCUCGCUGAAGCCGCAAAAGACAAGAUAGAACGGAAACUAAACGAGUUAACAGAACAGUGUAAUCAGACAAUAGAAAACCUGAAUACUACUGAAAAGGAUGAUGAUCAUCAGAAGACGACGGUUGUGGAUUAUCUAAAGGAGAUUAAGACGAGGCUGGAAGAUCUACAGUCUGUCAAUUUGAAGAGUAAUGAGGAAUUAAUAGAUCAUGAGAUUAAGUUGUCAUUUGUUAAUGAGAAUGAUCAUGAGAAGGGUGAUGACGAGGUGAUGUUGAAUGAGGAUCAGGCUGUCUUGGAGGAGGAGAAGAGGGCCAUGGGACAGGUGGCGCUUAACCAAGAGCUUCAAGAGCUCAACCGAGCUAUGGCGAUCAAGGCGUCUGUAGUCCAAGCUAUACUGGCCAGCAAUAAGGAUAUGCUGGAAGGUCACAAGAACCUACGAGAGAAUGAAGAAAGGAUCGCUCACUUGGAGAAGGAGAGGGAUGAGCUCUUGCAGCAGUUAAAACAGACUAAGAGCAAAGACCCGUCACACGAGGAGCGUCGCACUAAAGUCUCGAGCCUUGAGCACGAGAUAUCAGAUCUCAAGAAGACUUGCCAACAACAAGCACACAUCAUUAAGACUAAAGAGAAGAAUGAAGCCAAGAUUGCGUCCCUCAAUGCUGAGCUACAAGCCAUGAAAGUUACUAAGGUGAAAAUAAUAAAACAAAUGCGCGAGGAAAGCGAGAAGUUCCGCAAGUGGAAGGCGGACAACGAGCGCGCCAUGCUGCGCCUGCGCAACGAGGACCGCAAGCGAGCCACCGCCAUGGCCAAGAUGGAGUCUCUACACGCCAAGCAGCAGAACGUACUCAAGCGGAAGAUGGAGGAGGCUGUCGCCGUCAACAAGAGGCUCAAGGAAGCGUUAGAAAGACAGAAGCUCUCACAAAUGAAGCGAAACGCCAAAGGCAGCGUGAAAGCCGGCGCCGUCCAACAGUACAUUGAACAGGAGUUGGAAGUCCAUCUCAGUAUUGUAGAAGCUGAGAAGUCACUUGAAGAACUCAUGGAGUACAGAGCCUGGAUAACGGAACAGAUUGAGAAUCUCCGCAACAGCACGGAUGACGCAGCCAACAGGAAGAAGAUCGCGGAGCUCGAGGACGAUCUCGCUCUGCGUAAGGCGCAGAUAUCUGAUCUGCAGCAGAAGAUAUUGACGGCCGACCAAGAAAACAAAUCACGCACACAAUGGGACAACAUACAAUCAAUGUUAGAAGCCAAAGUAGCUCUCAAAUGUCUGUUCGAACUACUGGUCGACGCUAAACGAGAGCUGCAGAACCAGAGCGAGAAAGGCUUCCAGUCUCGGUACGAGGAGAUUAAGGAGGCUCACGAUAGACUCGCGAUGGACUUUGAGAAUAGUAAGGCUGAGUUCGAGAGGCAGUUGGCCUUAGUCAAGCUACAGAGUGAGCAAAAGUUAUCAGCACUAGUGGCACUCCAACGCGGCGUAGUAGGCAGAGGCGAUAAGAGCGAGGCCUGCAAACACCUGCAGAACGUGAUACAGUACCAGCAAGAGAGGCUGGAGCAGGUCGAGGAGGAAAACAAAAAGUUAGUAGAUGAGUUGGAACAACUGCGUUCAGCAGGCAAGAAGGCCAAGAAGCGACCAAAGAAGGAGACAGAGUCAGAAGUUCCUAAGAAGAUGGAGUAUGUGAUGAUGACUGAUGAAGAAGAAGAUGAGUUUGAGGAUAGAGAAAAGGAUCCGGACUGGAGGGCUACGCCAUUGUUCAAGCGGAUACAGGCGCAGCGCUCCCGCCUGACGAUGAACUUCACUCAGGCGGACGUGUCGGUGGCGGACACGUCGGCGCGCGCCCCCAAGCGCGGCAGCGACGGCGGCGCGCACUGCGCCUGCCGCGGGAGCUGCUCCACCAAGAUCUGCGGCUGCGUCAAGGCCGGCAAGGCCUGCGCGCCCACCUGCCGCUGCCAGCACGAGCUCUGCAAGAACAGGCGCGCCGGCGACGACAGCGACGACAAGGAGAACAAUCCGUCAUCAACAGAACUCUCAGCAUUGGACAGAACACCGCCCUCAUAUUUUGACAAACGAUUCGAAACGACAGCAGAAUUAAACGAAGCUUACUCUGAAAACAUACUCCCGGGCAGCACUACCCGUACGCCAGUACGUCGGACGCCGCGUCCGUUACGUCCAAUAGUUACGAAUACUACACAAAAGUGGAUGUUCGCUCUACUCGUGUAUAACACCUGUGUGGCCCCGAUGUCUACGUAUUGUGCGAAUAAUAUACUGCAGUAUGGCAUGGACGUUGCGAAGUACAAUGUCAUGUCUAACAUCUUCAAGUACCUGAUGAGAGAGAGGUCACCUUGAUGCAACAUACGUUAAAAAGAAGAAGAGCUAUUUUUUCCCACAUGAUCAGGGAAACACAGACCCUGAUGCAUUAAAGACUGUUUUGGAAAUAGAAAACGUAGCAAGUAACUAAUACAUUUUAUUUAACGAUAUAUUAUGAGAAAUUAAAGUGCCUCAAUAUGUUUAAUAUCUCUUGUCUAACUUUAUUGUAAUCUAAAUUAAGUGUACAAUGUAUUGACAUGUAAUUUAAAAAUAUUAUUUUACUUUUGGACGGGGUAAGACGCCGUUAAUUCUUGUACGGCGUGGACCUAGUCUGAUGAUACUUUUGUUCUAUAAAUUGUUGGAGUAGAUCUCCGAAUAAAUAUUUAUAGAAAAUU